GGCUCACUUUAUUUUUGAGCACCAACUCCAUGCGAGGCAAUUACAGUUGCGAUGUUUUCCAGCUGCACUAGCUGGCCAGGGGCAAAGCUGGGAUUGCUGGGAAGCUGACCCAAAUCUCAACAGCCUACCAUGACCAAUGUGUGCCAGCCACUGUGUGCCUGGUGCCAUCAGCUGUGACGAGCAGCUGCAAGGAAGACAGCAGCCUGCCAGCUGUGAGGACAAGGCAAAGGGUCUCCAAGGAUCUGGUGGAAGCCUGAAGUUGGGGUGAAAGUGGAGGACAGGGAGGAGAAAUCGGAAAAAGAAAGGACUAGAAGACUCAAUUUUCCCUACACAGCCUGGGACACCCACAGGAAGACAGGACCCAGGAGGCUGUCCUUUGUUCCACACAAGAGCUUGGAGGCAAAUGGGAAGUCAGCACCAAACUGCAAAUAACUUUCCAGACACCCUCACAGCCUUGUGAAUGGAGGUGACACCCUCUUUCAAACUGGGAAUUCUCAGCCCUCACAGCUGGCCCCACUUCCAGGAACAGGAAUCUGCCUUGGCCUGGAAAAUGCACCAGCGUUUGCUCCAUUCCUGGGGCUGGGGGAAGGGGAUGGGUGACGGAAGAAUGCGGUCAGGCCACAGGCUGAGGAAUGCCUAAUGACAGCCCUGUCAGGCUUCUCAGGAAAAAACAACAAAACAAAGAAACCAACCAACUCAGAAGUAAGCCAUCUGCCUCCCUGGAAGCCAUAACCUGACAGGGAAAGUAAUACCUCAGUGUGAAUUAAUUUACGAUGAGUCAAGGAAGGAUGGGGGCCCUAAGGGAAGAACAGUCCUCCCGGGUUGGGCAGGGGAGGAGGUAGCAGGGCCCCAGUGCUGAAGCUGAGGCGGAGGAGAGCAGAUCUCUCACAGCCGAACUCCAGCCACAGAUGCAAAAUGGACGCAGCUCAUGGAAACAGAGUGGGUUGGGGGCUCUGGGACAGCAGCCGCUGCCUCUCCUCCCACGUUCCUGGCCUUCUCUUCCAGGUCUAACAUCUGCAGUAGCAGCUAUGUGGCCAGUAGCAACUCCAGUCCUGUGGCACUGGAUGUGGGGGGUGGCUGCUGAUCUGAAGUUUUCAGAAUGGACCCCCUCAGAGGUCAAGGCCAAACCACAAGGCUUCCCUGUCUAAAAGGCAAAGUUAAAGUGCCACACAGACAACAGUGAUGACCACUGAGGGGACAGAUGCCUUGAGAGUGGAGUCUGAGGGUGCGGGAGCUCAGGUUAAACCCUGAUCCUGCCACCAACUCCAUCAAAUUACUAACAUCUCUGUGCCUCAGUUUCCCCAUUGUAAAAUGGAGGUCAUGUUAUCACAUACUUUAUCACAUACUUUAAAAUGUUCUCAUGAGAGCCAGGCGCAGUGGCUGACACCUGUAAUCCCAGCACUUUGGGAUGCCAAGGCAGAUGGAUCACUUGAGGCCUCCGGAGUUCAAGACUGGCCUGGCCAACAUGGCAAAACCCUGUCUCUACUAAAAAUACAAAAAUCAGCCAGGCGUGGUGGCGCGCGCCUGUAAGCCCAGCUACUUGGGAAACUGAGGCAGGAGAAUUGCUUGAACCCAGGAGGCGGAGGUUGCAGUUAGGGGCGAUUGUGCCACUGCACUCCAGCCUGGGCGACAGAGCAAGACUCCAUCACACAAACACACACACACACACACACACACCAAUGUUCUCAUGAGGAUUAGAAGGGUUAAUACAUGCUAAAUGCUUAGACUUUUGCCAGGCAUGUAGUAAAUGCUAGUGAAUGUUAGCUAUGAUGAUGAGGAGGAGUGUGACAAUGAUAAGGAGGGUGAUAAUAACUUUGGGGUGACUCCAGGGCUCUGUGAUGGAGCAUUACAAGGCAUGACCAGGAAGUCUGGGUUUCUCCAGAGGUAGGAUAGCUUCUGUAGGACUUGGAGGGCAGAAAGCCCCCAUUAAUGGUCAUCUGGGGGAGUCAGUCAGCACCUGACUUUCAUGGGGCCCAACAGAGGGGCCUGGGUCCUCUUCUUCUGUCCCUACCCCCAUGAUGCAGGCAGCCUCCAUCUCUCUUAGGGUCUUGCCCAUCACUGCUGCUGUCUUCCCUGGCUUCUCCUGCAAUCUUUCCUGUUGUCUUCUUCUCCUCUCUGGAGCUGCCACUCACCCACAGACCAGCCAACAGCAUUUCUACCUUUAAAACUCUGCUAUUCAAGCCAGGCAUGGUGGUGCACGCCUGCAGUCCCAGCCAUUCGGGAGGCUGAGGCAGGAGGAUCUCUUGAGCCCAGGCGUUCAAGGCUGCAGUACGCUAUGACUGUGCCUGUGAAUAGCCACUUUACUCCACCCUGGGCAAUAUAACAAAACCCCAUCUUAAAAAA
This 2343-nucleotide long non-coding RNA is filed under the name Homo sapiens (human). RNAcentral's name for it is "HSALNT0343340". The record is from RNAcentral. Lineage: Eukaryota; Metazoa; Chordata; Mammalia; Primates; Hominidae.